RNAcentral lists this transfer RNA (70 nucleotides) under Dipodomys ordii (Ord's kangaroo rat). It matches the Rfam family "tRNA". Rfam says of the family: Transfer RNA (tRNA) molecules are approximately 80 nucleotides in length. Their secondary structure includes four short double-helical elements and three loops (D, anti-codon, and T loops). The record is from Rfam by way of RNAcentral. Lineage: Eukaryota; Metazoa; Chordata; Mammalia; Rodentia; Heteromyidae.
GGGAAUGUGGCUCAGUGGUAGAGUGCUUGCCUACCAUGCAUGAAACCGUGGGUUUGAUUCCUCAGUACCA